GAGACUGCGCUGCUCCAGCCCGGGAAAAGUUCUAGAAUAGAGGCGCGGCGCAAGUCAGGGGGCCGCCUUGGAAACCGCAGCAAGGGCUCCUUGUGGGCUCCAGGCUGUUGGAGAGUGAGGGAGCCUCCUCCCCUUUCCUUCCCGUGGAGUAAACAGAGCUUGGCAGGGCUGGAGGCUUUCUUCCUUUUAAAAAGUGCCAUUCUGAACAACGAUACAAAGUGAAAAAAUAAAUUUUUUAAAAAAGAAAGGGAAAAACUACAAUUUGACCAUUCUGACCAGCCUCCUUGUUCCAACUGGCCUCUUGAUUUGUAUAAAGAUAAUGGGGUCCGGCGGCCCCCUUGAUGCAUGAAUUGCACGCUGGGCAUAAUGAACUUAUUGUGCGAAAGCACUUUGGACUUCGGACUGUGUUCCUAUGUCAGAAUUUUACUGUGGUUUGUAAGAUAAACUGGAAGGAAACAAACUCGUGGUUAACUCUUGUCAAUACGUGUCUUGAACCAAGCAAAGUGACAUUUCCUACCUGUGGCUUUGACUUUAAGCUGCACAAAAGGUAGGAGCUAGCCUCUCAGCUGUUCAAAGCCUAGAAUGAGAUGCCUGCUUAGUAGGUGUUAAAUUAUAACAGCAACAACCCAUAUGGUGCUUAUUAGGAGAAUAGUAUUCCAAAACUUCUCUAAUGACUGUGACCCUCCUGUGAAAUUCUGAUUUCAAUUGUAUAUGGGGUACAAUAAAUCUUUAUCUUUUAUCACCAGAAAAGCUAAUUGAACUGCUGUUUGCAGGCAGAAAUAACAAAAUGGGGGUAAUGGGCUCUUAGCCUGGGCUAAGACUCUCAACAGCUUUUUUCUGUUUUGCAGCUCACACAUACAGUCGGCUCAGGCAGACGGCCCAAGACAAGCCUGUGCCAAAGAAAUGCUGAUUUAGUCUGACCCAGACAAUCUCUACUCCCACAUGUCACUUCUCUGCAGAACUCUUACUAGUAUGGCAAAUACUUUAAAAAUCAUACAAUAAAAGAAGGCAAAACCUCAGUAAUUUGAGGUUCACUUUUAAUAAACUCUUUCCAUGCAUUAAAAUAAAUUGAGGCCCUGAGCUCUGGCGAAAUGUUUCCGGGUUUUUAAUUCCCACCGCCCCCCCACCCCGGAGGCAUAAAUAGCCACAUACGCAAUUCAAAGUACUC
RNAcentral lists this long non-coding RNA (1168 nucleotides) under Homo sapiens (human). RNAcentral describes it as "HSALNT0299124". Lineage: Eukaryota; Metazoa; Chordata; Mammalia; Primates; Hominidae. The record is from RNAcentral.